GAAGCAAGCCAGUAAGGAACAUCCCUCCAUGGCCUCUGCAUCAGCUCCUGCUUCCUCACCUGCUUGAGUUCCAGUCCUGACUUCCUUGGUGAUGAACAGCAGUAUGGAAGUAUAUGCAGCACAAAUGGAGAAUCCAAGUGCAACCUUGUCUUCGUCAGUAACUGUCAAGAGACGGCUCAUGGGUCAAAGCAUUGACUGCACAUGCAGGGAUACUAUCCAUUCUUCAGUCCCAGCGGGUAUCCAGCAAGCAUUCGUUCCCUGAAUGAACCUGAGAGGCAAGUUCAUGCAUCGACCUUCAAGGAUCACACGCUAUUCUGUUACACGCUGCUUUCUGAAUCAAGGAAACUCAAACUAAGACAAGUGUACACCCAAAGGAUGCUUCAUCCUACCACAAAAACACCUGCUCAACAAUAUUCAUUGCUGUUCUACUCAUAAAAGCCAGAAAUUUUGAACAAUCUAGAUGUCCCUCAACAGAAGAAUGGAUAAAGAAAAUGUGGAAAUGCAGGGACAAAGAGUAGAGCAGAGACUGAAGAAAAGGUCAUCCAGAGACUGCCCUACCUGUGGAUCCAUCCCAUAUGCAGCCACCAAACCCAGACACUAUUGCAGAUGCCAAGAAGUCCUUGCUGACAGGAGCCUGGUAUAGCUAUCCCCUGAAAGGCUCUGCCAGAGCCUGACAAAUACAGAGGUGGAUGCCUGCAGCCUACCAUUAAACUGAGCAUGGGGACCCAAUGGAAGAGUUAGGGGAAGGACUGAAGGAGCUGAAGAGGCUUGCAACCCCAUAGGAAGAACAACAGUAUCAACUAACCAGAACCCCCAGAGCUCCCAGGGACUAAGCCACCAACCAAGGAGUGCACAUGGAGGGACCCUUGGCUCCAGUGUAUAUGUAGCAGAGGAUGGCCUGACCUGCCAUCAAUAGGAGGGGAGGCCCUUGGUCCUAUGGAGGCUUGAUGCCCCAGCAGAGGGGGAUGCUAGGGCGGUGAGGCAGGAGUCAGGUGGUGGGUAGGGGAGCACCCUUAUAGAGGCAGGGGAAGGGGGAGGGGAUGAGGGUUAGAGAAGGGGAAACUGGGAAGAAGGGACAACAUUUGAAAUGAAAUAAAUAAAAUAACCAAUUAAAAAAUGU
Long non-coding RNA from Mus musculus (house mouse), 1120 nucleotides. RefSeq annotates it as predicted gene, 33056. The transcript has 5 exons. The record is from RefSeq and is marked validated. NCBI's taxonomy places the organism in Eukaryota, Metazoa, Chordata, Mammalia, Rodentia, Muridae.